UACGAAGGACCCAAGCGUUAUCCGGAUUUAUUGGGUUUAAAGGGUGCGUAGGCGGAUUAUUAAGUCAGUGGUGAAAGCCUUCAGCUUAACUGAAGAACUGCCAUUGAUACUGAUGAUCUUGAGUAUGAUUGAGGUGGGCGGAAUGUGUCAUGUAGCGGUGAAAUGCUUAGAUAUGACACAGAACACCGAUUGCGAAGGCAGCUCACUAAGCCAUAACUGACGCUGAUGCACGAAAGCGUGGGGAGCAAACAGG
RNAcentral lists this ribosomal RNA (253 nucleotides) under uncultured bacterium. RNAcentral describes it as "partial 16S ribosomal RNA". It matches the Rfam family "Bacterial small subunit ribosomal RNA", at positions 524 to 776 of the family's 1533-position model. The record is from RNAcentral.